This 238-nucleotide ribosomal RNA is filed under the name uncultured bacterium. RNAcentral's name for it is "partial 16S ribosomal RNA". It matches the Rfam family "Bacterial small subunit ribosomal RNA", at positions 15 to 236 of the family's 1533-position model. The record is from RNAcentral.
GAUCCUGGCUCAGGAUGAACGCUGGCGGCGUGCCUAACACAUGCAAGUCGAACGAAGCACCUUACUUGAUUCUUCGGAUGAAGGUCUGGUGACUGAGUGGCGGACGGGUGAGUAACGCGUGGGUAACCUGCCCUGUACAGGGGGGAUAACAGCUGGAAACGGCUGCUAAUACCGCAUAAGCGCACGAAGAGACAUCUCCUAGUGUGAAAAACUCCGGUGGUACAGGAUGGGCCCGCGU